RNAcentral lists this ribosomal RNA (465 nucleotides) under uncultured bacterium. RNAcentral's name for it is "bacterial SSU rRNA". It matches the Rfam family "Bacterial small subunit ribosomal RNA", at positions 338 to 795 of the family's 1533-position model. The record is from RNAcentral.
CCUACGGGUGGCACCAGUGGGGAAUAUUGCACAAUGGGCGCAAGCCUGAUGCAGCCAUGCCGCGUGUAUGAAGAAGGCCUUAGGGUUGUAAAGUACUUUCAGUUGGGAGGAAGGCGUUGAUGCUAAUAGCAUCAACGAUUGACGUUACCAACAGAAGAAGCACCGGCUAACUCCGUGCCAGCAGCCGCGGUAAUACGGAGGGUGCAAGCGUUAAUCGGAAUUACUGGGCGUAAAGCGCACGCAGGCGGUUGAUUAAGUUAGAUGUGAAGUCCCCGGGCUUAACCUGGGAAUGGCAUCUAAGACUGGUCAGCUAGAGUCUUGUAGAGGGGGGGUAGAAUUCAUGUGUAGCGGUGAAAUGCGUAGAGAUGUGGAGGAAUACCGGUGGCGAAGGCGGCCCCCUGGACAAAGACUGACGCUCAGGUGCGAAAGCGUGGGGAGCAAACAGGAUUAGAUACCCGUGUAGUC